CAAAGAAGCAGCAAAACAGAGGGCCUGGAUCUCUGUUAGUUGGACUCAGAAGGGAGAUCAACUUGACUGUAGAUACUGAAGAAGAUGAAGUUGAAGAUAUGAUUACAUAUGAAGCCCAUUCAUCUGCCAGUCAUUAAUUGUUGUGUAUAUUGUGGACCUGACAUCCUUUCAGAAGUUUGGACUACAAAGCUGGAAAAGGAGGGCCCUACGUGGCAGUCCCCGGGAUGAGAAAACCAUGUGUCAGAAAGCUGGUGCCGAAUCCCUCACACUAUUUUUACCUUCCUGACACUACCUCUUUGAGCCCCGAGGAGGAUCCUGGCCUGAGGUGGCCGAGCUGGAGUCUUCCAGGCUGAUGUGGCCAACCUUCACCUUGUUCUCCAGAAACCACCAAAAAGCUGGCGAUUCACUUUUCUUGACCAGAAAUAAAUGCAUCAGACAAGUGUUCUCAAGUAAUCUUGAGGGAUGUGAACACAAAAUUAUCCCAUAAAUUGCUUUUGUUUCCUUUCCUCAGUUCAAAGUUGGUUUUUGGUUUGCAUUAGUUACAUUAAAAUUGGACAGUAAUUCAUGCUCUUAAAAUAGA
Molecule: long non-coding RNA, 580 nt
Filed under: Homo sapiens (human)
Lineage: Eukaryota; Metazoa; Chordata; Mammalia; Primates; Hominidae
Description: HSALNT0232784
Source: RNAcentral